UAAAACUUGGCGCGAGCAUGCGUUUAGGUUGUCAUGGUGACGCGCGCUCACACAACCGCACGUCAUGGCGCUGCGCUGAACUCUGUCCAGACUGUGAAUGUGGUAUUAUCUUCGCGAUCUGUAGGCACUACGGAAACGAAAGGCGCAUAAUCAUAACUCAAAUAAUCUCCGCCUAAAUACUGAACGGUAUUUUCUGAUGACGGGCAAAAACUACCUCAAAACGUAGCUGUCUGUCACACACAGCUUGUUGCAUGCUGAUCCAUACACGAGAGCCUAACGGAGAACAUUUAAGCUGUGCUCCUCACCUGAGCAGAAUUGAAGGUCGGUUGUUGCUGACUACAGAAAGAUUCUUAUAUGGAGGCAUGUAAAAGCAAGGAAAGUGAAACUUCAGCUAGACCUUGAGUUCAGUUUACAAUAUGAAGAUCCUGAUAUCAACAUCUGAUCUGAUCAACACCUGAUUUUCAUCUGAGCUGCAGAGGACCAACAUGUUACAAAUGAGAAUUUUCCCCACAAAUUCUUUGGACAACCGCACCACCACCUAUUUCAUUUGAUGACAAUUUUAAGGCAAACAGCAUCCAAAACUGACAAGACAGCAGAUACCCUGGCUAAUCUUUUGAAGGUUUAUGAUGAGCAGGAACUGCAUGAUGUCAGUUCAUGAUGGACUACUGUUAUCAGAGGUCUUUUGGUCUUGCUGCGUGAGCGUGACUGGGGAUUCUUUAGGACCACCCUGAUUAAUAAUCCUGAAGCGCUGACUGAAGAUGCUUUAUUGGCCCUGCAGUCACUGAGGGUCUCUGCUGUCCUGAAGAAUGAAUUGGACACCACCCACAGCACACUUCCAGACCUUUUUUGUCUUGUUUGAAUUAAUGUAUGCUCUUCACUCAGUAUAUAGUAAAGGACUUUGAACUUGUACAAAAAGUUUCGCUUGGCAUGGAUGAUAGAAAAUAGAAAGUCGAUUAGCAUAGAAUCCUUAAAGAAUGAGUUGAUGUAGAGCCUUUUUUGUACUCAAUAAAGACUGUCACUGGGGUAGUAACUUCAAAACAUGUGUGAACCUUUAAUUGGUA
Molecule: long non-coding RNA, 1061 nt
Organism: Danio aesculapii
Lineage: Eukaryota; Metazoa; Chordata; Actinopteri; Cypriniformes; Danionidae
Exons: 6
Source: RefSeq, a predicted model, not a curated record